AGAGUGGGUCGGGCGACCGCUGGUCCGCCAGAAGUGGGCUGGAGGAAAGUCCGAGCAGGACAGGGCACGGUGGUGGCUAACGGCCACCCGGGGCGACCCGCGGGAAAGUGCCACAGAAAAUACACAGCCGAUGAUUUCGGCUUGCCGGAACACAGGCAACGGUGAAAUGGUGCGGUAAGAGCGCACCGCGGCGCCGGUGACGGCGCCGGCAGGGCAAACCCCACCGCCUGCAAGACCAAGUAGCUGGCUACUCGGCCCGAGUGUGAGUCCGCCGUCCUUUUGGCGGACUCUGCCAGCGGGUAGGUCGCUUCACGCACAUAUUAGGGCAUAAGCCCAAACUCAAUAGGUGCGGGAGAGCCGACUGGCAACAGUUGGUCAAGAUAAAUGGUCGCCGUCCGCCGUUACCGGCGGAAUACAGAACUCGGCUUACGGACCCGCUCUUUUU
This 445-nucleotide RNase P RNA is filed under the name Planctomycetota bacterium. RNAcentral's name for it is "RNase P RNA component class A". It matches the Rfam family "Bacterial RNase P class A". Rfam says of the family: Ribonuclease P (RNase P) is a ubiquitous endoribonuclease, found in archaea, bacteria and eukarya as well as chloroplasts and mitochondria. Its best characterised activity is the generation of mature 5'-ends of tRNAs by cleaving the 5'-leader elements of precursor-tRNAs. Cellular RNase Ps are ribonucleoproteins. The record is from RNAcentral. Lineage: Bacteria; Pseudomonadati; Planctomycetota.